This 466-nucleotide ribosomal RNA is filed under the name uncultured bacterium. RNAcentral's name for it is "bacterial SSU rRNA". It matches the Rfam family "Bacterial small subunit ribosomal RNA", at positions 8 to 507 of the family's 1533-position model. The record is from RNAcentral.
AGAGUUUGUAGUCCUGGCUCAGGAAUGAAACGCUGGCGGCAUGCUUAACACAUAGCAAGUCGAACGGGAAGGUAGGUGGUUUCCAGUGGCGAACGGGUGAGUAACGCAUAAGAACCUGCCCUUGGAGGGGGAACGAACAAGUAGAAACGGUUGCUAAUACCCCGUAGGCUGAGGAGCAAAAGGAGAAAUCCGCCCAAGAGGGGGCUCGUGUCUGAUUAGCUAGUUGGUGAGGUAAUAGCUUACCAAGGCGAUGAUCAGUAGCUGGUCCGAGAGGAUGAUCAGCCACACUAGGACUGAGACACGACCCACACUCCUACAGGAGGCAGCAGUGGUGCAUUUUCCGCAAUGGGCGAAAUCCUGACGGAGCAAUGCCGCGUGGAGGUGGAAGGCCUAUGGUUUGUCAACUUCUUUUCUUGGAGAAGAAACAAUGACGGUAUCUAAGGAAUAAGCAUCGGCUAACUCUGUG